GCAAGCAUCAGCGCCCCGGUGAGGAAGCCCCGUACCCCCUCCUAAGGGGGCCUAAGGGCCGGCAUCAGGCACAACAAUAGCCCAAAACGCCUAGCACCACCACACCCACAAGGGUCAACAGCAGUGAUUAAUAUUAGAUAUUAGCGCAAGCCUGAUUUAGUCAUAGUAGUUUCGGGCCGGCAAACUCUGUGCCAGCCGCCGCGGUUAAACCGCCAGGGCCCAAAUUGAUGCUCACCGGCGUAAAGGGUGAUUAAAGCCUCGUAAUGCUAGAAUUAAACCUAAACUUAAAUGUAACAAUUCUGUUUCCGGGAAACCCAAACACGAAAGUUAUUCUACCCCCCCCCCCCCCACCUUGAACUCACGACAGCUAAGACACAAACUGGGAUUUGGUACCCCACUAUGCUCAGCCGUAAAACUUUAACUUACACAAUAACCGCCAGGGAACUACGAGUAAAACUUAAAACCCAAAGGACUUGACGGUGCCCCAAAUCCAUCUAGAGGAGCCUGUCCCAGAAUCGAUGAUCCGCGCAAACCUUACCAACCCUAGCUUAACAGCUUGUAUACUUCCGUCGCAAGUCUGCCACAUGAGUGAAAAUCAGCAGACUUAACGUUCAUAGAAAAUACGUCAGGUCAAAGUGCAGCAAAUGGGUUGGCGGAGAUGGGCUACACUUUCUAACCUAGAAGAUACGAAAGACUUCAUGAAACCUAGUCAGAAGGCGGAUUUAGUAGUAAAAAGAAAACAGAACGCUCUUUUUAACACGGCCCUGGAGUGCGCACACACCGCCCGUCACCCCCUUCAAAAUCCCCAAAUAACAGUACAUAACAACAAUCCCAAU
Molecule: ribosomal RNA, 836 nt
Filed under: Brachycephalus margaritatus
Lineage: Eukaryota; Metazoa; Chordata; Amphibia; Anura; Brachycephalidae
Description: partial small subunit ribosomal RNA
Rfam family: Bacterial small subunit ribosomal RNA
Source: RNAcentral